GAUGGGUGCACUGGCACAUGCCUAUAGUCCCAGCUACUCAGGAGGCUGAGGUGGGAGGAUCACUCCAGCCCUCCUGGGCUGUAGUGCGCUAUGCCAAUCAGGUGUCUGCACUAAGUUUGGCAACAAUGUGGUGAACUUCUGGGAGCCGGGGACCACCAGGUUGCCUAAGGAGGGGUGAACCAGCCCAGGUUGGAAACGGAGCAGGUCAAAACUCCUUUGCUGAUCAGUAGUGAGAUCACGGCUAUGAAUAGCCAUUGCACUCCAGCCUGAACAACAUAGCAAGACCCCGUCUCUU
Callithrix jacchus (white-tufted-ear marmoset) is the source of this 295-nucleotide unclassified non-coding RNA. It matches the Rfam family "Metazoan signal recognition particle RNA". From Rfam's summary of the family: The signal recognition particle (SRP) is a universally conserved ribonucleoprotein. It is involved in the co-translational targeting of proteins to membranes. The record is from Ensembl. NCBI's taxonomy places the organism in Eukaryota, Metazoa, Chordata, Mammalia, Primates, Cebidae.